AGAGUUUGAUCAUGGCUCAGGAUGAACGCUGGCGGUCUGCUUAACACAUGCAAGUCGAACGAACUCUUCGGAGUGAGUGGCGGACGGGUGAGUAACGCGUGAGAAUCUACCUGUGGGUCGGGGACAACCACUGGAAACGGUGGCUAAUACCGGAUGAGCCGAAAGGUAAAAGAUUUAUUGCCCACAGAUGAGCUCGCGUCUGAUUAGCUAGUUGGUAAGGUAAAAGCGUACCAAGGCGACGAUCAGUAGCUGGUCUGAGAGGAUGAGCAGCCACACUGGGACUGAGACACGGCCCAGACUCCUACGGGAGGCAGCAGUGGGGAAUUUUCCGCAAUGGGCGAAAGCCUGACGGAGCAAGACCGCGUGGGGGAGGAAGGUUUUUGGAUCGUAAACCCCUUUUGUCAAGGAAGAAGCUCUGACGGUACUUGACGAAUAAGCCUCGGCUAACUCCGUGCCAGCAGCCGCGGUAAUACGGAGGAGGCAAGCGUUAUCCGGAAUGAUUGGGCGUAAAGCGUCUGUAGGUGGCCAGCUAAGUCUGCUGUUAAAGAUCACAGCUCAACUG
RNAcentral lists this ribosomal RNA (562 nucleotides) under uncultured cyanobacterium. RNAcentral describes it as "bacterial SSU rRNA". It matches the Rfam family "Bacterial small subunit ribosomal RNA", at positions 8 to 615 of the family's 1533-position model. The record is from RNAcentral. Lineage: Bacteria; Bacillati; Cyanobacteriota.